RNAcentral lists this ribosomal RNA (465 nucleotides) under Vreelandella stevensii. Its description in RNAcentral is "partial 16S ribosomal RNA". It matches the Rfam family "Bacterial small subunit ribosomal RNA", at positions 338 to 795 of the family's 1533-position model. Lineage: Bacteria; Pseudomonadati; Pseudomonadota; Gammaproteobacteria; Oceanospirillales; Halomonadaceae. The record is from RNAcentral.
CCUACGGGGGGCAGCAGUGGGGAAUAUUGGACAAUGGGGGCAACCCUGAUCCAGCCAUGCCGCGUGUGUGAAGAAGGCCCUCGGGUUGUAAAGCACUUUCAGUGAGGAAGAACGCCUGGUGGUUAAUACCCAUCAGGAAAGACAUCACUCACAGAAGAAGCACCGGCUAACUCCGUGCCAGCAGCCGCGGUAAUACGGAGGGUGCGAGCGUUAAUCGGAAUUACUGGGCGUAAAGCGCGCGUAGGUGGCUUGAUAAGCCGGUUGUGAAAGCCCCGGGCUCAACCUGGGAACGGCAUCCGGAACUGUCAAGCUAGAGUGCAGGAGAGGAAGGUAGAAUUCCCGGUGUAGCGGUGAAAUGCGUAGAGAUCGGGAGGAAUACCAGUGGCGACGGCGGCCUUCUGGACUGACACUGACACUGAGGUGCGAAAGCGUGGGUAGCAAACAGGAUUAGAUACCCCGGUAGUC